GACGAACGCUGGCGGCGUGCUUAACACAUGCAAGUCGAACGGAAAGGCCCUGCUUUUGUGGGGUGCUCGAGUGGCGAACGGGUGAGUAACACGUGAGUAACCUGCCCUUGACUUUGGGAUAUCUUCAGGAAACUGGGGCUAAUACCGGAUAGGAGCUCCUGCUGCAUGGUGGGGGUUGGAAAGUUUCGGCGGUUGGGGAUGGACUCGCGGCUUAUCAGCUUGUUGGUGGGGUAGUGGCUGACCAAGGCUUUGACGGGUAGCCGGCCUGAGAGGGUGACCGGCGACAUGGGGACUGAGAGACGGACCAGACUCGUACGGGAGGCAGCAGGGGGGAAUAUUGCACAAUGGGCGGAAGCCUGAUGCAGCAACGCCGCGUGCGGGAUGACGGCCUUCGGGUUGUAAACCGCUUUCGCCUGUGACGAAGCGUGAGUGACGGUAAUGGGUAAAGAAGCACCGGCUAACUACGUG
This 468-nucleotide ribosomal RNA is filed under the name uncultured bacterium. RNAcentral describes it as "partial 16S ribosomal RNA". It matches the Rfam family "Bacterial small subunit ribosomal RNA", at positions 28 to 507 of the family's 1533-position model. The record is from RNAcentral.